GUGUGCGAAACUGUACGUUAUAUACAGAAGUAAUUGAUUUAGUUAUGAAAGCGUGGGUUUUAUAAUGUUUACUCGUUGAAUUAAACUAGUCAAGGAAAUAGCUUUAAAUUCUUCAAACAGAAAUGUCUUUUGAUUUUAAAGGGAAAUCCAUUCUUGUGACUGGUGCCUCUCGUGGGAUUGGUCGGGAGCUCUCUGUGGCUUUUGUGAGGAGCGGAGCAAUAGUUUAUGCCCUUGCUACCAACGGCGAACUACUGGAAGCUUUAAAGCAAGAAUGUGGCGAAAAUGUACGCCCAAUUGUGGCCGAUUUACGAGACUGGGAUGCUACCCGCGCGGUGUUGGAACCACUUCCGCCAAUGGACGGUCUUGUUAACAACGCGGGUGUAUCGCAUGAGUUGAUACCGUCUUUGGACGUAAGCAAAGAGCUGAUUUACAAGAUAUUUGACGUCAACAUCAUGGCCGCGAUAAAUGUGACUCAGGUUGUCGGAAAGAAGAUGGCUGCUGCGGGCAAAGGAGGUUCCAUCGUAAAUGUUUCAAGCAUAAACGGAAUCAAUCCAUUGCGGGAAACUAUGCCGUAUAAUUUGUCAAAAGCCGCUCUCGAUAUGAUGACCAAACAAUUUGCGUUGGAGCUAGGACCGAUCAAAAUACGAGUGAAUUCCGUCAAUCCUACGGUCGCGUUGACGGACAUGAGUCGCGGGUUUUGGAACCACCCACCGGAAAGAGGUGACCUCCUCCGGAGUCAUACGCCGCUCGGGCGGUUUGCUGAAGUCUCCGAGGUGGUGCAACCCAUCAUGUAUCUCCUAAGCGAUUGUUCCAGCAUGGUUACUGGAACUGUGAACCCGAUUGAGGGCGGACUGCUCUCAAACAUACAGUGCUAGGUGACGUUUGAGUAUAUGCGGAAAACUCAUUUUUCAUAGUUAACGUUUAUAACAGUUUAAGUGGGUGACCAUUGGGCAGAAGCUUCUUCCAGAAGAACCAAAAGACUUUCAAACAUUGCUUACAUUUCGAUCGGCUGUGCUGUUAAAAAAAACUACACUUAGAUAACCUAGUCGUAAUUGCGAAAUUAAAACUGCUAUUCAUGAGAAAAUAUAAACAUUCUUUGUACAAUAAAACACCUUUAAUUCACCUUAUAUGUAUAGUUCGCAAAUUCAAGUGAAAAGAAACAAAUAUGAAAAAUCUUAUUCCAUAGAUCUUACUAAAACUGGAUCAAAAGCAGUGCACAUUUGUUUUUCUGAGAUUUUAUAUUUUUGAUGACAGAAGAUGAUAUAGUGCAAGUGCAAUCAAACAAGUUUCUGCAGUUACAAUGCGGUUAACUGUUUUCUCAUCCUACUUUGUGGUUAUAAUAAAUCUUAAAAUUAACAUAUCUUUACAUAUAUCAUACCGUAUCUUGAUUGUAAUGAAACAAACAACAUGAUGUAGAAACUGUUCAUGACUGAAAAUGAUUAAGUAAAGCUUAUACACUAAUAUGUUUUGUGUUUUACCUGAAUUAAGAUAUAAUUGUUAUUGCAUUUGAUUUAAAGGUAUGUUAAGUGUGUAUAAUGUGGUGUUUUUACUAUAGAGUUAUGGAAGGAUGCUUAUUCAUAUUCUUCUUUUGUAGCACUCUGCUGCCCUCACGGAAAGCAGCAUGUUUUGCCGUUCUGCCUUCAUAACACUAAAUUCAUUUAAUACAUAGAUAUACUUUAAAUACAUACAUUUUUGGAAGUUGAAAUAUUAUAUUACUUUUAUUAAACACCAUAUCUAAGAUUUUUUGUCGUAUUGCUACGACAUGUAUGUUAACUUUCUUCAUAGCCCGAUACAAUGUGCCCCUUCUUCCUUAGCACCAUGUUCCUUUUCCGAAGCACCCCUGCUCCUUUUUAAAACUUGGUUAGAGCCCUUAUAAGGAUAUCAGUGAAAUACUACAUUUCAAUAUAGUUACCAUAGCAACAAAAGAACACUUUGAUAAAGAAAUGAAAAAUAACAAGUGUUUCUUAACACAUAGCUACUUAAUAAUACAUCCUCAAAGCAUGCUAUAUGAUUAUAUACUAUAGGAAUGUUAGAACAUUAGAACUUUGCGAAAAACAACAUUAACUUAAAAUUAUAAACCAUUGCAACAUUCUUGUUGUGUAAUAUCUUGAACAAUUUGUAGCAUUUGGAGCACUCUAGUAAUCAUUUUAAUUUUGAAUUGUUCUUAUGGAAUAACAUUUAUGGUUUAUGUUGCUUAUGAUUAUCUUAUUUUCUUUUCCCAUUUUUUUUUGUAUUUCUGACAUGAAUUUAUUUCUUUAAAAAAAACAAAAUUGUAAGUUUGUGAAAUACAAAACAUCUUUUUGAUUCAGUUUGUUUGUAACUUUUGUCAUAGACGCUGUCUAACCAUAAAAUGACAUGAUACACAUGUGACUUUAAAGUAAUGCACCCAAGUAAAUCGAAAAUUGCCAUAGCAACGCCAAAAUAUGAGAUAUUCUGAUUUUCUUUGCACUGAAAUGCUCCCAGGAUUAUACUGCUUCGGAUUCAGUUUAAAACUUAUUUUAAUAUUGCCACUUUUGGUUCCCUUUUAACUCGACUAUUCGAAAAAAUAAGGAUGCUUUUAUAUAAUACUCGCCCCGGCUACUCUGCCGAGGCGUCUGCAUCGGCGUUGGCGUUCGUGUCAAGUUUUAGGCCAAAUUGGAAUUUUCACUUGUCACUCGAAUAACCUUCAGUCAAUACAAGUCAUACUUUACACAGUUGUUCAGGACCACCACACAAUGAGAUUACGUAACUCCAUAUUAUCCGAGAUACAAAUUAUAGCCCCUUAUUGACAUAGGAACUUAGGUUGAAGUUUUAUAGCACAUUGUGUCAGUUCAAAGUUUUAGGGCAAGUUGAUCUUUUUACUAAUAACUCCUAAACCCUUCUUUUAAUUGACUUAUUACUGCACACAAUUUUGACGACUAUAGAGCAAUAAUAAAUAAAUACAUAACAUCAUUUUAUCCUAAAUACAAACUUUGGUUUCUGGUUGAAGAAGAUAUCCUUUACCAUAUUUGUGCACAAUUAUGCCUACUGCUAUUCCUAGAGUAUUUUCUAGGACUUGGUAAUCUUUGUUGAUGAUGGGUCAUGAUUUUUAUACUGAUUACAGACGUCUUCCUUUAUAAAAUUAUGUUGUUGUUUUUAAAUUGCAUUUAAUUAUAUUUAAAUUUAUGUUUGAUAGGAUCAAUGGAACAAAAUGUCAGAAUGGUGUCUUCAUUUUUUUUUAUUCAAUUCCAUUCUAUCAUUACCUAUCUGUUAUAAGCAAGCAAGUGUCCUCACUAUAUAUAUCGUAAGACGUAAUAUAAUCAUGAUAUUUCAGGCUUUCCUUUUAAAUAAUAUGUUGUUGUAUAAUUAUGUGUUCAUCAUGAUUUUGUGUACAACAUGGCUGUAUGAUAUUUGCGUACACUUUCACUUUCAAAGAAAGGUAUACAUUAUAUUAAAGAAAAACGUGCUUUUUUUAGUUAUGUACAGUGUUUGUUUGGUUUUUAGACUGGAAAUUGAGCCCA
This is an RNA transcript of Mya arenaria, 3479 nucleotides long. It is a transcript of the gene named D-erythrulose reductase-like, with no coding region annotated. Lineage: Eukaryota; Metazoa; Mollusca; Bivalvia; Myida; Myidae. The transcript is spliced from 2 exons. The record is from RefSeq and is a predicted model, not a curated record.